This 326-nucleotide small nuclear RNA is filed under the name Propithecus coquereli (Coquerel's sifaka). RNAcentral describes it as "7SK RNA (ENSPCOG00000008772.1)". It matches the Rfam family "7SK RNA". Rfam says of the family: 7SK was discovered as an abundant small nuclear RNA in the mid-70s but a possible function has only recently been suggested. Two independent studies have found that 7SK RNA binds the CDK9/cyclin T complex (known as elongation factor P-TEFb). Lineage: Eukaryota; Metazoa; Chordata; Mammalia; Primates; Indriidae. The record is from Rfam by way of RNAcentral.
GGAUGUGAAGGCGAUCCGGCUGUGACAUGUGUCACCCCAUUGAUCGCCAGGGUUGAUGUGGCUUAUCUGGUUGACUAGGUGGGGUCCCCUUCCUCCCUCACUGCUCCAUGUGCAUCCCUCCCAAAGCUGCACAAUGGUUCCAAGAGGAUGACUUUCUCUGAUGAUAAAAAAUGUUAACCAACAGCUUCUGAUGGGAGCUAUCAAAAUUAAAAAUUUCUUUUUACUUUCCUUUAAUAUACUUCUAGGUAAAAUCAUGUUUCAGCACCUUAAUCAGAGGAUAUAAAAAACAGACAGGUGAGAGGUCUAAUUGGUAGAUCUAUUUCUCU